UCAGGCGGCUGGGCGAUCGCUGGCAGGGUAACUUGCUGGAGGAAAGUCCGGGCUCCACGUAGGCAAGGCGGCGGAUAACGUCCGCCCGGGGAAGCGACCGAAAGGAAGCGUAACCCGAGGGAUAGCGCCACAGAAAGCAAACCGCCCGGGACUUGUCCCGGGUAAGGGUGAAAGGGUGGGGUAAGAGCCCACCGCGUUCCUGGUGACAGGGAUGGCAAGGUAAGCCCCGCCUGGAGCAAGACCGAAUAGGGAUGGACGUCCGCAAGGGCAGGCACGCCUUCGUGCUCCAUCCGGGUUGGUCGCGCGAGGCGGUCCGCAAGGAUCGUCCCAGAGGAAUGGUCGCCCAUGGGUCGCAAGACCCGGGACAGAACCCGGCUUACAGGCCGCCUGAUCGA
Molecule: RNase P RNA, 395 nt
Filed under: Alphaproteobacteria bacterium
Lineage: Bacteria; Pseudomonadati; Pseudomonadota; Alphaproteobacteria
Description: Bacterial RNase P class A
Rfam family: Bacterial RNase P class A
About the family: Ribonuclease P (RNase P) is a ubiquitous endoribonuclease, found in archaea, bacteria and eukarya as well as chloroplasts and mitochondria. Its best characterised activity is the generation of mature 5'-ends of tRNAs by cleaving the 5'-leader elements of precursor-tRNAs. Cellular RNase Ps are ribonucleoproteins.
Source: Rfam by way of RNAcentral